GAUGAUGAACGUAGCGAAAUGCGAUAAGUAAUGUGAAUUGCAGAAUUCAGUGAAUCAUCGAAUCUUUGAACGCACAUUGCGCCCAUUAGUAUUCUAGUGGGCAUGCCUGUUCGAGCGUCAUUAAGUCCACUUAAGCCCUGCUUAGUGUUGGGAGACUGCUCCAGCGGUGCUACCCUGUAGCUACCCUGCAGCUCCUCAAAGACAGCGGCGGAGUUGUGGUAUCCUCUGAGCUUAGUAACUUGUUCUAGCUUUCGAGUACACCACUUCCCCUGCCGUAAAACCCUUAAUUUUUAAUGGUUGACCUCGGAUCAGGUAGGAAUACCCGCUGAACUUAAGCAUAUCAAUAAGCGGAGGA
RNAcentral lists this unclassified non-coding RNA (355 nucleotides) under soil metagenome. Its description in RNAcentral is "partial contains 5.8S ribosomal RNA, internal transcribed spacer 2, and large subunit ribosomal RNA". The stretch from base 1 to 120 matches the Rfam family "5.8S ribosomal RNA", at positions 35 to 154 of the family's 154-position model. The record is from RNAcentral.